GUAGAGCGGAACAGAGAGAUAGCGUUAUUCUUCAUUUUCCUUCUCCUCUUCCCUGUCGCACCGCCUUUCUGUUCUUGUUGUUGAUCUUCUUUGCUCACAAUCAGCCGGGUCUUGUCUUUUCCUCAUCGUCAUGUCCUGCCGCUAGGAGUAUUGCUGUCACCAGAUUCCUUUCCUCAUCGCUGCCCCUAUUUCAUUCUGAUCUUCCCUGCUUCAUCGUCGCACGUUGAAGCUUCUCCUCUCUUUCUUCAACGUCGAGCCAUCUCUGUCUAGUCCUUGUCGUUGAUUUCUCCACUGCUGUCGACUGGAGCUAUCCUCGCGGUCGUGUUUGGCUGCUUGAGGUGAUGAAGUCGUUGCUUCUUCCAUCGUUGUUCUGUGUUUGUUCGGUCUUUAUUUUCCUUUCCACCUUAUUUGUUGAGUCUUGUGCAUGGGAUAAGCUUGUUGCUACUCUUCUCUGUCACUGUUGUUAGCCAUGUAAGCUUGAAAUUUCAACUCUGUAAAAUUUAGACCAGCCACCUUUUCCCUCCUUUGAUCAUCAUUGAAGCAAAUAUGGUAUUCUAGAGAGUAUGGCUGCCAUGGAAACUUUGAGUUAAUUAAUUGUUUUCUUGUUUCUUCGUUCGAUGGUGUGCCUAAGUCCUCUCCCUUCUAUAUUGGUGGAUGUCACAAUUUUUAGGGAAUUGAGGUGCAUUUUAGUUAAUUUUGUGUGUUGUUUAUUUUGAUGAUAAGCUGAAUAUGGAUGAUGGAGGCUCAUUGUGAACUAAAUUUGAGUGCACUCGAGAGAUUUGUAGAAAUAUUUAAAUGAAGAAUUUAGGUUCUUUUUGAAUAAUAUUCGAUGCUAUUUUAUUAAUGUUGAGCUGAAUAUUGGUGAAGAAAUUAGAUAUUGAAAAUUGUUGAACUUGCUUGGAUGCUUGUUUCAUGAGUUAGUUAAUGGUGAUUGUUCUUUUAAUGCUUGUAAAUAUGCUUAAAAUGUUUGUUGGUGAAAAUAAGAUUGUUAAAUUUUUAUAGUGGAGCAUAGAGAAAUUAAAAAUAUUUCUGACGGAGUAUAUGUCUUUACAUGCAAGAUAUAUAGUUAAAAUAUUCAUUGAAAUUGUGUAGCACUUAAAAGGAAGUCAUUAGACUAUAUGAUAAUUAAGAUUUUUGUUAAGUCUAAUAUAAGGGCUAUGUUAAUGGUUGAAAUUGAAUGCUACUAUGUAUUGUCAAACUAUUUGAUAGAAGUUAUUAAAGUGUUCAAUGAAAGUUUAAGGGGUUUAUAAGAAGUUUAAAGGAUUAUUAUCGAAUAUUUGGAUGUUAAUUUUGCUCCUUUAUUAUGAGGAGGGAAAUUCAUAAUGACAUAAGAAUUGUUGGAUCUUGUGUUAAUUAUUUGCUCGUUUAAUUUUAUUUAGCUACACGAUAGGCAAACUCCUCAUUUCAAUUCUCUUCUUUCCUCUUGGUUUUCUUGAGCUUUUAAAAGAGGUAAGUUUUAAAUUUUGAUACUAAAGACUUUGUUCUUAAAAACUUUGAUUUCUUUGGGUCUUUGAGAAGUUCUUUUUGAGUUUCUAUAUGAUGCUUUAAUAUUUUGAGCGAGCAAUUGAAUAAAAAGAGAGUUUUAAGGCAAAAAUUCAAAUUCCAAAGGAUUGGAUUUUGCUCUUUAAUAGUUUAAACCUAUUGAAUUAGUUAUAAUUGUGUUAUUUGAAUCUAAUUAGAUUUAAAUUAAGUUUUAGUUUUCAUUAUAAGGCCUAAUUAUAAAAGUUGGCAAUACUAAGUAAAUGUUUUUGUUGAUUAAAAAUUGUAUGGUUUGAAAAUUGGCCUAAUGAUGACUAAUACGUGGUUUUGAUGGUUAAAUGAUAUUAUGAGAAUGAUUUGUUUAAUACUUGGAUCAAUGAGAUGGAUUAUGGCUCAUCGACUCAAGUUAUGUGGUAUGAAUUAUAGUCUUAUUUUAUAUUAUUUGCCAUGAUAAAUAAUAUGGAUCAUUUAUAUGUUGUAUAUAUUGUUGAUGAAAUUUAUUGAAAAGUUAAAGAACAGUUCAAGUCUUCUUUUUAUACAAGCAUUAUCACAGAAAAAAGCUAUAGGAGUGCCCAUGUAGGAGCGUUUUAAAUUGAAAAUGUUCUUAAAAAAACGAUACGGAGCAUACUGGAGAGUUUCUGUUUUAAAAUGCUACGGUCAUAGCGUCUGCCAUAAAAAGCGCUCCCAUGAAGCUUUAUUUUUUUUUAAAUUUUUUUAAAAUAGCUUAGCAACCUACAGGAGCAUUUUUAGCUUAAAAAUGCUCCCCGUAGGCCUUUACUCUAUCGGAGCGUUUUAGGCCCAAGAAGCUCUGGUAGGUUUCAAUCUUGUUUUUUAAUUUUUAAACGGCUUCCAUCUUUCAUUCUGUCACACUAGGUUUCCUCUUCGAAGCUUUCCGUUCGUUCGACACCGUGAAGCUCUUCUCUCCCGCCGUGAAUAGACUCACCAUUCAUCUUUGCUGUUCCCUUUCCAGCACGAAUAGCUGUCAUCCUCACGUGUUUUCCAUUCAGUCGCGAGUCCACCGUUCCAGACCAGUCCGAACCAGAUCCAGUUCUCUCUUUAAUUUGUUUAUCGUGCGUUCUGCUUCUCCUCGUCCGUGCUCCAUCCGCGUCGGCCCUCCUCACCCAGUCGUGCUCCAUUGAGGUCAGAUCCAGUUCAUAUCGUGUUGUGCCUCUUCCAAAGCAGCGUUUCGAUGUCCUGUUGUCACAUCUUCCGGUGUUUCGGUUUCCAAGAAGUGUCCGAGGAGGCCAGAAGAUGCUGUUGCUGUAUAUGCAUCAAGAGGGGAAGCUGAGAAAGAACUAGGGCAAAAUUUCGCUUAAAGGAAAUGUGCUGGGACCAAUGUUGUUGAGAAGGCAACAAUCCAUGGAGCUACCAGGGGAAGCCAUAAUUCUUACAAGAUUGGCCUUAGGAGUUUUAAAUCUUGCUAUUGUUUUUCCACAGUGGCAUUCACCAGCCUAGUUUUUGCUGCUAUUCCCAUACUGUUUGUGACAGCAACUACUCAUAAAGAAAGUUGCUGUUGGAUAAGAUAUUAUUUUGUUGAAUAGACUGUUAACUUCUUUAGGCCAAGAAUUACUGAGAUGCCCAAUGCAAGUCUUUCAAGAUGGAAGAAUUAAAAGAUUUAAUAGAGUGAUUAGCAAUAUGUCAUGAGAUGUUUACAAGGUCUAGACAAAAGAUCUAGUGGUGGACGAGAAAAGGAGCAGAGUUAGGAGUUGUUUGUAGAUUGUAAAGAAUUGCAACCCUUUCUUUUAAGCAAAUUUAUUGCAAUGUAUUUAGGAUUGGGAUGCCAGUAGGAUGUGAUUAUAUAUAUGUGUGUGAAUAUGUGUGGAUUGUAUGUUUUUGUAUGAAUUUUUGUCUGCUUGUAGACUUUGACUAGAAAACUUGGUUACGAUGUAUGGUUUUAAUGGAUUCAUUUGGUAGACUAAAUUUUCACUACAAGCAAAUGUUUAUUUUAAUAUGUAUAUGAAUAUAUGUGAUUUUACAAGAAAAUGCAAAGUGGUUGCAUUAUAAAUUGUGUGCGAUGGGUAAACAUACACCGUGGAUAGAGAGAGUGGGUGCAUGGGCCCUAUGGGAAUCUUUGAGUUAAGUGAAAAUGUUUAGUACGUGUAUUCAUGUGUAUAUGGUGUUUGGAAUGGUUUUUGGCUACUCUUAUGUGAUUUGUGAAUUUUAAAGGCUUAGAGUUCAUGUUGAAAAAUGGCACUCGAAUGCUUAAAUUUUGAUAUAAGGGUUUUUCAUCAUUUAAAUAUUCUAUUAGGUACUUUUAGUCGUAUUUGACAUGGCCAAAGUGUUUACACAAAUUUAUGACCUUUUGGAUGAAAUUUAGACAAUUUUGAAAAUGAUUUUUACUAAAAAGUUGUAUUUUUGCGUUUGGGUGUCCAAAUUUUAAUUGACCAUUGGAUUUUCCUGAAAUUUGGCUUACAAUAAAUAUUUUUAUAAUUUUUGUGUUGGCUUUGGAAUCAUCUCGAUUGGAUAUCGAACAGAGAAAUGGCACAUUCUGAAAGUUGGUCUAGAGAUGUUGUCAGUCAUGACAGCAACAAUUGCUGAGGUUGGGAUGUGCAUAAAUUUUGAUCUGACCAUUGAUUUUUUUAAAUUUGAUACACUUGUGGUACUCUUUGAAUGUGACGUGAGCUCUAGAAUUAAUUGGAUGACAAAAUGGUGUACUUUGGAAGUUGAUUCGAGAGUAUUGUUAUGAUAGCAAAAAUGCCAAACUUGUAAUAUGUUCAAAUUUUAAUUCGACCAUUGAAUUUUUUAAAAUUUAAAACACUAUUGGUACUCUUAACAAGUGACAUGUAAGCUUUUGAAAUCACUUCAAUUUGAGGUCAGACGGUGAAUCAAUGCCUUUCGAAAGUUUUCCCGAGAGGGACAUCGUGAUAGCAAUUAAUUGCCCUUGUUUACUUAAUUUGCUUCCGUGCACUACAUAGUAAUCAUUCAAACUUUUCUGAGGUUUUAAAUGUUUGUUUUACUAUUGUAUAGAUUGUUUGGUAAUUUAAUUGUUUUUUUUAAGUUGGUUUUAGGAUCAACUCUUUAACUACACUUAGUUUUCUUGAGUUGUGGUGUGAUUUUAUUAACGCUAGGGGAAAGUAUUACAGAGGUGCUAGCCUUGUGAGAUGGCCAACACAUGUGGAAUGGAGGGAUGGUUAUUUGUGAACAUAGUACUCACGUUUGUUUUGUUGGGCUUUGUGUCUACACUUGAUUUCAUGAGUUUUGUUCUUGCACUUGUUUUUGUGGCUUCGAGCCAUACUUGUUGGUUACUUACCCUCGUGGACAAUGUAUCCAUGAUUGUUGGUUAUUUACCCUUAUGGACUAUGCGUCCAUGCUUGUUAAUCGUUCUGAUAAAGUUAUGCUAAAACAUGAAGUUUUGGAAACUGAUAAUGUUUUUUCAAAUUUAUUCUAUUAAUCAAACUGUCGUUUGAUCAUAUAUGAUUUUACACAAUAAAUUAUAUAAUUCAAUUGUUUAAGAUAGAGAAUGUUGCUUGGGAUGUUGAACUUGAUUUCUCCAUUAUCUGUAAUUAAAUAUAUAAAUUUAUAUACUUAAUUUAUGUUUUUGUAUAUGAUUGUUUAAAAAAAAAUAAAAUGAUGAAUAAAAUGAGCUUUAAUAUGUUAAUGGUUAUUUUUCUUAUUGGAUUCAUAAAUGUUCUCUUCAUUUUUAUAAUCUCAAUUGGGAUGUUACUUAUCAAAAAUUGUCUUUGGUCUCAUAUAUUGAAGUUGACCCUAUAUCUUCUAUUGAUCAUUACGGGACACAAUUGUUUUCCUGGAAAGUGGAAGUAUAUAUGGACCAUUUAUUUUGAUGUACUUUUGUAUUACAUUAUCAAUUGUAAUUUAGUGCUUCAUGUAUACUAUGGUUUUCUAGUUUUAUUUUCUUGUGAAAUUUGUUGGUAUGAAGCUAAGCUCCUUUUGGUUUGGCUAAAAGGUUUGUUAUUGUAGAAAUUUAGAAGGUCCUAAUUAUAGGAGAGACUUUAUUGAAAUUUUUACAGAAUGCUUAAAAUUUUACAAAUCUUAAAUUUAGUCAUAAAUUAUAUAUUAUUAUCUUAAAUUAAUUUUCUAGUUAAUUGAGACUUAUGAAAUGUGAGUCUAUCUUAUAUUUUAUUUCGGUCACACCCUCAGUUCUGGGGUGUGGCAUAAAUGGCAUUCUUCAUAGUUAGAAUCAAGAUACUUUAUGAUCUCUAACUGAUCUAAUCUAUGAUGUAUGAGUAUGCCAGCCUUCAUUCUUUUCAAUUAGCAUAAUAACUAUAUGGCUGCUUUUCAAUCCAAAUAUCUACCUAACAUUUCUUAGAAUGUACACAAAUCUAAAUACAUACAAAUCAAAGUAUAAAUUAGACUUCCAAUAGCUAAUUAAUGUAUAGGAAAUCUCUUGCAUUUCCUUAAUUUCAAGGUGGUAACUAAAGCAUUAUUUGAAAGCUAAGCUUGAUGCACUAUAAAUAUUUGCAUGCUGUAUGCCAAACCUUUUGGACAUUUUAUGUCAUGACACAAAAAUUAAAAUAAAUAAAAAUUAAUAAUUAAAUAUUUUUUAUUGUAUUUUUAAUUAUUUUGGAACAAAUUUAAUAAGAGGGAGAGUUGAUCUAAUGGAAAUUUUGUUAAUAAAUUAUCUAUUAGGUCCCUGUUCAAAUCUUGCUAUUAUUGGAGGAGAUUUUUUCCCCUUUAUUUGAGUCUUCCUUAAAAUCACCAAACUGCCCUCUAUUUUAUUUUAAAAAAACUAAUUUGAUAUCAUAUUUUUAUUUCACUUUCUCCUUUCUUCGAAUGAUCUGGAUACUUCAAACAGAAAAAAUAUUCUCUGCCUCUCCCGUCUUCUUUCUUCUGUCUUACGAUCUCCUCAGCCUCAUACCUUCGAUGCUUCGUUGUUGGCAGCUGAGGGUGCUUGGGUUGCUGUUUGCUCUUCCUAACCUAUUCAACCACUAUUGCAAUAUGCAAUGUGCUUCAGAUUGCAAUUUCUCCUCCUCCCCCACAUUAAGUCGCUGCCAUUAACUGCUGUUGGGGGGGGGGGGGUUUGUAUAGCUCAUAGCUUCUUUCAUUCUUGUUGCAGUCGUCAGAGGCCAUGAGUGGCGAGAAAAUUCCUCCUUUCUCCAUGUGUUGCUUUGGGUGCUGCUGUGGAUUCGUGAUCUUCCUCCUCCCCUGCUUGCGUCGAUUUCUUCUUUCUCUUUCCCUUCUCUGUCAUUACUGAUUCAGGUGAAGCUUAGAACUGUUCUCGUUGAUUUCGUGUGUGUAUUUCAGGGGUUGAAGUUGUAGAUAUGCCCUCUCUGCUGAAUCUGUGCAUGUGGGUGCGAAGAGUGAAUGCUAUGAAGUUGAUCUUUCUAUUCGAUUUCAAUAGGCUACGUGAAUGUGUAGGAGGGGGAGCUGAAUUUGAAAAGCAUGAUGAAUCUAAUUGUGAUUGUUCAGGAAUUGUUGGGUAAGGCAUUAAAAGGUUAAGAAGUUUCACUGAAUGGGCGAAAAUCAUGCACAUGAAGGGUUUGAUAUAAGUUUUAAGUGGAAAUCAUAUUCCAAAUUGAGAAAUAGACAAUGGUUAAAGUCAUAUGGGAAAACUCUGAUGUAAAUGAUGAUGUUUAAGAAAUUUUGAAUUAUUGAGAUCUAUUAUAUUGUGUUAAUGUUAGAAGGAAGUUUAUUGAA
Long non-coding RNA from Prosopis cineraria, 7074 nucleotides. RefSeq lists it as uncharacterized. The record is from RefSeq and is a predicted model, not a curated record. The transcript has 8 exons. NCBI's taxonomy places the organism in Eukaryota, Viridiplantae, Streptophyta, Magnoliopsida, Fabales, Fabaceae.